Molecule: non-coding RNA, 32 nt
Filed under: Geobacter sulfurreducens KN400
Lineage: Bacteria; Pseudomonadati; Thermodesulfobacteriota; Desulfuromonadia; Geobacterales; Geobacteraceae
Source: RNAcentral
UCGUGGUUGCGAUUUUGAAUAGCGGCGUUGCU